Molecule: long non-coding RNA, 1106 nt
Organism: Dermochelys coriacea (leatherback sea turtle)
Lineage: Eukaryota; Metazoa; Chordata; Testudines; Dermochelyidae
Exons: 3
Source: RefSeq, a predicted model, not a curated record
UGGCCAUUCCUCCACCUAGGAGCAGCAAGGACAUGUUGCCACUUCCAGGAAGCCACACCGAGCCAGGUAGGGAGCCUGCCAGGCCCAUGCCAACUGGACUCUAAAUCAGACUUUCAAUGAAGAUCAGAAAUGCCGGUUUAUAGAGCUUUCUGUCUGGUAAAGUACCAGAUAAAACAGCUUUUACUGUACGGUGUUACUCACACUACAAAUCUAGAAUAAGAACAACUUACUGUGUACUUUUAUAUACAUGAUUUUGAAUGGCAAACAGAUACAAAAUGAAUUUUUUGUCAAAGAACAAACAACUUAUUCUAUUACAUGACAAAUAGCAUGUGAAUGUAAUCAAGACCUUGUAACCUAUGUGAACACAGCAGAAUUAAGGUUGUUCAUAGAACUUUAUCUAUGAGUAUUGCCUAACUUGAGUGCUUAGCAUUCUCAGUGUAAAUUUUAUGUAGGGAAUUUUUUUUUUUUUUAAUUUAUUUCACAGAUUCUUCCUAAAGUUCCAAGUUCUCCACAUCAUUUACAGACAUGCUUCUUAAAAAACAAUGGACUGAAAAAGAGGAUUUCUUCUAAUGAGUUUAUCUAUCCUCUCUUCAGUGCAUAUUUUAUAUGGCCUCCUUAAUAUGGAAGAUCACAACAUUCUUUACUUAAAGUCAUAAUAGGUACAGGAGAAAAGACAUUAUUUAAAGAGGAAGUGACCCUCACUGAUUUGGAGGGAAGGAGAGUUCUAAUCCAGAGCACCACAAGUGAAAAUGUGACCACACAGCUUUCAGGGUUGCAAGGAUUAGGUAGGAAAUAAAUUCAGGGUGGGGAAUGACCAAGGUUUUCAAAAACUGAGGGCCAAGUUAAAAGAGAAAUAAAACACUAAGUGAAAAAACAAAGGUUUUUUUUCCCUAGUAAGCAAGGUUAGAAAGAGAAAGGUGUUUUGAAAUUAGGAAGAGAGUAUGACAAGAGAGAAGGUAUUUUGUAUUUUUAAAAACAGAAGAUCUAGGUUGUAAACUCCAGAGGUCACAGACUGUCACUUAAUUAUGUUUGUACAGUACCUAGCACAAUGGGACCUAACCCUGGCUGGGCCCUUAGGCACUGCCACAAUGAAAACACCACAUACU